Molecule: long non-coding RNA, 1743 nt
Organism: Daphnia magna
Lineage: Eukaryota; Metazoa; Arthropoda; Branchiopoda; Diplostraca; Daphniidae
Exons: 4
Source: RefSeq, a predicted model, not a curated record
UGUUGCGUCAGGGAAAUUUUCUACUAUAUCCGGGUUGGUGUUAAUUGUUUGAAAAAUACAUUGCUGAUUUUUCUUCGUGUUUUCCUCUGCAGCACAUUGUUCCAAUUUUCACGAUUGGUCGAUUCCUAAGUUGAUUCUUCAGAACCGGUUGCAGCGAAUAUGCGAUCUCCUUCCGUCUCCGUGAUGCAGAUGAAGCUAUUUUGUAUAUGUAUCGUCUGGUCGACGAUAUAUUCGAAUUCCGACCUUGAUGGUAGAGGAUCAUCUUUUGAUUGUUGGUUAUGGGCUAUUACUGAGUUGCUGCUUUCUGGUGUGCCAAUCUUAUAGUUCCCCAGGCGUAGGAGAUGCUGUAUAGUCGAGUCCCAAGUUGUUCAUCUUCUAAUGGGUUGUUGAAUAGAAAUUGGACAACUUGAAGAGUCCAACGUCUUGUCCUAGACUUAUACCAUUCUCUGUAAUCGUUGCAUACUGAAGUAUCCAGGAAAAGUCAAGCACGUCAGAGGGAUUCCAACCACUUUGUGUCCUAUUGGUACGAUGCCCAUAUCUGGCUUGUUAAGAAACGAUAUUUCUAUCUGCCGGUUGGUGUCGUAGAGACGGCUGGUGUUAUCUGACUCCGGGGAAUUUCCAGGUAUCCUUUUCCUUUUAGUAAUGUUUGGGUGUAUGAAUUGUUAGUUGUCCUUUCUCCCCACACGAUCGUAUUUUGAUUUUGGAUGAAUUGUCCUUCCUGUUGUGUGGUAUUUAGCAGUCCGAAAGGGCUUUCAAUUGGGCGAUCUGGUUUCUCCUGUCGUAGCGUGAUCUGUUCCGCUAUACAGUUUAGGGUUUGGUAUUCCUUGAUGGCGUACCAUUUACCUUCUCCUAUAGGGGUGACCGUGAAACUGAGUCCCGUUGGUCUGAUCAGCAUGUUAUUGUCACCAUAUUUUUUAUCAUUGAACAUCCGCCAGCCUUCUAGAGGGGUUAUUAAUAUUGUUUCUUGUGAGUUUACUGUAUCGAAGGAUCCAAUCCAGAACGAUCCGGUUAUUUUCUUUGUUUUAGUCCACUGUCGACAUGACCAUCCUUUCCAAGUGGCUGCUGGUUUUGUUUACUCACCAAUGUGUAAGCAGUUGGUAUCCUUGGUAAGUGUUGUGUUUCAGGUUUUUCGUUGUCACAUUAGUAAGGCGAUUCGAAAUCCAGGAUUCCUCGAAUUUUCAUAUUGUUACAAUCGCAGACGGAUGCGUAGAUAGGGUAAGUAGGGUUAAGUGAAUGAAGGAGGCAAAGAAGGAAGAGUAAUGUCUGCAUCUGUGAAAAAAAAAGAGUUUAGUUAUCUGGUCCUUGAUACCGUCUUCGUAAGUUGUAUCGGUGUUUCGUUAUUGGAUCGUUUUGGAUUUGGUUACGGUAAAGGUUGGGUAUUGUGUGGUUUGUUUGCUCUUUUGGUUUUAUUUCAUUCCUGCUGGGUUUGAUGUUCAUCUUCACUGGAUGUAUCAGCCGCUGUUUCCUUGGUCGGCCUGGUCGGCGUUGGUGAAUUGUUGGUCGUCGUUGGGCUUCAACAUUUUCUGGUAGGUUUUGUAGUAUUUCUUCUUCCUCAGUUGUUUCUUGUUUUCUUGGGAUAUAAAGUUUGAGACGGUUGGUAUGUACCACGGAUUUCAGUUUCUUGUUUACAGUGUGCUGUAUUUCGUAAUUGAUAUCCGAGAAACUUCGAGAAAUUUGAAAUGGUCCGUUCCAUCGAUUUAUGAAUUUUCCUGCUGCCGGUUGCGUCUGCAGUAAUACGUAGUC